This 467-nucleotide ribosomal RNA is filed under the name uncultured bacterium. Its description in RNAcentral is "partial 16S ribosomal RNA". It matches the Rfam family "Bacterial small subunit ribosomal RNA", at positions 28 to 507 of the family's 1533-position model. The record is from RNAcentral.
GACGAACGCUGGCGGCGUGCUUAACACAUGCAAGUCGAACGGAAAGGCCUCUUUCGGGGGGUACUCGAGUGGCGAACGGGUGAGUAACACGUGAGUAACCUGCCCUUGACUUUGGGAUAACUUCAGGCAACUGGGGCUAAUACCGGAUAGGAGCUCCUGCUGCAUGGUGGGGGUUGGAAAGUUUCGGCGGUUGGGGAUGGACUCGCGGCUUAUCAGCUUGUUGGUGGGGUAGUGGCUUACCAAGGCUUUGACGGGUAGCCGGCCUGAGAGGGUGACCGGCGACAUUGGGACUGAGAUAAGGCACAGACUGCUAAGGGAGGCAGAAGUGGGGAAUAUUGAACAAUGGGUGGAAGGCGGAUGAAGCAACGCCGUGUGCGGGAUAACGGCCUUCGGGUUGUAAAACGCUUUCGCUCAUGACGAAGCUUUGUGUGACGGUAGUGGGUAAAGAAGCACCGGCUAACUACGUG